GACAAAAUAAAUAUUGUCUCUUUCUAUUAAAAUAAUGAACUUGACUUUUAAGUGAAGAGGCUUAAAUUAUAACAGAAAGACGAUAAGACCCUAUAAAGCUUUUAUAUUUGUAAUUUAGAUUUAAAAAAUUAAGGUAAUUGUAAAACUUUAAAAUAUAUUUAAUCUACUGGGGCGGUACAUAAAUAAUUAUUAUUUAACUUUAUGAAAGUUAAAACUUUUCAUAUAUGAUAGGUUAAUUGAUUCUUGCAUUAAAGAUUAAAAGUAAAAGUUACUUUAGGGAUAACAGCGUUAUUUUAUUUGAGAGUUCAUAUCGAAAAAAGAGAUUGCGACCUCGAUGUUGAAUUAAAACUUCUGUUUAGUGUAGCCGUUAAACUAGGAAGGUCUGUUCGACC
Molecule: ribosomal RNA, 392 nt
Filed under: Leucosia rubripalma
Lineage: Eukaryota; Metazoa; Arthropoda; Malacostraca; Decapoda; Leucosiidae
Description: partial 16S ribosomal RNA
Source: RNAcentral